UACUCCUACGGGAGGCAGCAGUGGGGAAUAUUGGACAAUGGGGGAAACCCUGAUCCAGCCAUGCCGCGUGUGUGAAGAAGGCCUUUUGGUUGUAAAGCACUUUAAGCAGUGAAGAAGACUCCAUGGUUAAUACCCAUGGACGAUGACAUUAGCUGCAGAAUAAGCACCGGCUAACUCUGUGCCAGCAGCCGCGGUAAU
This 198-nucleotide ribosomal RNA is filed under the name uncultured bacterium. RNAcentral describes it as "partial 16S ribosomal RNA". It matches the Rfam family "Bacterial small subunit ribosomal RNA", at positions 334 to 524 of the family's 1533-position model. The record is from RNAcentral.